RNAcentral lists this ribosomal RNA (253 nucleotides) under uncultured bacterium. RNAcentral describes it as "partial 16S ribosomal RNA". It matches the Rfam family "Bacterial small subunit ribosomal RNA", at positions 524 to 776 of the family's 1533-position model. The record is from RNAcentral.
UACGUAGGGUGCGAGCGUUGUCCGGAAUUAUUGGGCGUAAAGAGCUCGUAGGCGGCUUGUCGCGUCGGAUGUGAAAGCCCGGGGCUUAACUCCGGGUCUGCAUUCGAUACGGGCAGGCUAGAGUUCGGUAGGGGAGAUCGGAAUUCCUGGUGUAGCGGUGAAGUGCGCAGAUAUCAGGAGGAACACCAGUGGCGAAGGCGGCUCACUGGCCCGAAACUGACGCUGAGGCACGAAAGCGUGGGGAGCAAACAGG